AAAACCGUUUUAUCUUUUGUAGAUGCGACAAUAACAUAGUAACAUUUUCAGAGAGCAAAUCACCUUUGAAAACUACCAAUAUUUAUGUCGUCAUUACUGGUAUAUUCGAUAUUUGCCGCGUGCCUAAGUGAAGGUGGAGUGUCGUUUCUUCUGGAUGGACAGCCAGGAAGUAAUCAAGAACACACACAUGAGCUGCUUGAAUUAGAGAACGAAGUGUCAAUUCUUAAGGACAUGCUGGCAAAUUGACAACAAUCAUGCUAUUCGUGCUCCAGUUCAAGCAUUUUACCAACGCCUGUCUUCAUGGUCAACUUACUCAAAGAUAUCAAAGGAUGCACAUUUGACACGAUUGUCUUUGACCAAAGAUUGCUCGAUACCAGACAGUCAUACGAUGUCAGGAAUGGGGUUUUCCGAGCGCCUAUAAACGGUACAUACACGUUUAGUUUAUCUCUGAUUACGACGACUACACUCCAUGUGCAGAUUGUCUUAAAUUCGGUCGCCAAUCAAAUAGGAUACCUUGUUGUGGACAAUCAUGCUAAACUGCAUUUAGACAAGGAAGUGCAACAAUCGUUACCAAACUGUAUGUUGGCGAUGCUGUCUGGGUUACUUGCCUCAGUGAAGUAAGAAGCGAUAUAGAAGCGUGGCAGUAUGGAAAUCUGCACUCGUAUUUCUCUGGUUUUUUUGUGAACUAAAGCUAUCUGCAUUUUGCAUUUUGGUAGUCUAAGAAAACAUAGCCUUAAACUUAAAUGUCAGCAAGCCAAAAUUACACCCAUGUGUGUUAAUGUUUGCUAGUUUGAGUGAAAUAUAAAGAUUCAUCAGUACAAAGGAAAGAACAUAUAUGUUAAUAACAUGAUAAAAUAAUGCGUAUUGUCCUUCAACAAGUGUAUUUAAUAAAAAAACUUUUGUUUGCCACAAUAUGUUGUCCUUUUUAAUGUUGUUAC
Dreissena polymorpha is the source of this 938-nucleotide long non-coding RNA. RefSeq lists it as uncharacterized. The record is from RefSeq and is a predicted model, not a curated record. Lineage: Eukaryota; Metazoa; Mollusca; Bivalvia; Myida; Dreissenidae. The transcript is spliced from 3 exons.